UUUUUGUUCAUUCAGUCCCCUCGAUCGUUCAUCUGAUCUCACUCAAUUCCCUUUCUCAUCGAUCUCUUUUGAUUUUAAUAUUAAUCUACGAAAUCAGAGCAUUAAGCGUCGAUCCCUUUUGAGUUUAAUUGUCAUGGGUUUGUCAAGAAACGUUGAUUUUAAAAUUAAUCUUAGAAAUCAGAGCAUGAAGCGUCGAUCCCUUUUGCGUUCAAUGGUCAUGGGUUUGUCAAGAAACAGGAGGAGCAGGGAAUAUGCUGAAUCCAUGAAAUCCAAGUUGCCAUCGGAUAUCAAAAAGAAGAGAAAACUUGAAGAAGAGGAGCAUGCGGCUUUUACUUGUUCCAAGAAACCUCCUGCUACAGUUUCUAAAAAUGAAGAAUUCAAGUGUUCUGAUGUUGAUGCUACACGUAACCAAUUUCGUGAGCGUCUUGUAGAGGGAUUGUCUAAAGUUUAUGAAGAGAAUAAUGAAGAGAUGAUGAAGGAGCAAUUAAGAGCUUGUGACCCAGUUGGAGUUGCUGCAUCAGUAGAAUCAGCGCUGUUUAAAACGUUGGGUCCUAUCAGUGGGUCAAACAAACCCCAGUAUAGAACCAUCUUGUUCAGUGUUAGGAAUUCAAGAAAUCCUGACUUUAGAAGAAAGAUUCUUCUUGGAGAAGUGAAGCCUGAGAGCCUUCCUACCAUGACCGAUGAAGAGAUGGCUAGCGAUAAAUUACAAGAGAAGAUUCGCGAGAUUAGGGAGAGAGUUUUAGCCAAGAUUCCGGACUCAGUUGAUGAUGAUGAUGAUCCCUAUGAGAGAUUAAAAGCUGAUGAUCAUUGGCUCUUUUAUAGGUCGUAUAUAGGUUAAUUAAUAUGAUGCUUUUAAUUAAGCUACUACUUUUGAGUUAUUGGGUUUUCAUAUUCAUUUUGUUCAAUUGUACUUUGACUUUGAGUUAUUUGGUUUUCAUAUUCAUUUUGUUCAAUUGGACUUUGACAUGGUAUUUUAAUUCUCUGAUCACUUCCUUUAUCACAUGACAACAAAUAUGUUUAUGCUGCGUUUAUUUUUUGGAUUGAAGUGAGAAUCUUGAGGAGUGGGAAUCUUUGGAUUAGGAGUGUGAAGUGGGAGUGUGAGUAGGGUGUUUACUUAAAUUAAAUGAAAGUAUGGAUUGUCAAUCAAAAUCCUAAUUAUUUAUUUAUUUUAUCUUAGAUUGUGAGUAAAUUAUUUUAAAUUAUAAUUUUAUCCUUAUGUACAGAAUUAUAAUUUGUAAUUAAAAAAUUAAUUAAAAAAUAUAUUUAGAAAAUAAAAUAAAUAUUUUAUUAUAUUUAUAAAUUAAUAAUAAUUACUAAUAUUCUUAAUUAUGUAAAUCAUAAUUUUUUUAUUAAUUUAAAUUUAAAUUAUGUGAAUAAAAAUUAUUAAUAAUAGCAACACAAAUGAAAUAUUAUUAUUGAUAAUAUAGUACAAAAUUAAAAUUUUUUUAGAAUAAAAUAUUUAUUAUUAUUAAUUAAAUAAAUAAUUAAUAUUUAUUAAAAUUAAUGUUUAAUAUUAUUAAUUUAAAUAUAAUAUUUAUUUAUUUUUAUUUUAUUAAAUUUAAUAAAAUAAAUAUGAUAUAAUUAUUAUUUUUAAUAAAUAUGAUAUUAUUUAUUUUAUUAAAUAUUAUUUAUUUAUUUUAAUUUUAAUUAUAAGGAUAAAAUGGGAAGAGGAGGGAGUGGAUUCUCACUCCCACCUCCCCCCAUGGGAGUGAGAAUCCUACUCCCCACUCCAAAAUUAGGUGAGACCCACGGAUUCCCACUCCCACUCCCCUUUUUUUUAAGGUAAAUAAACACUGGAGUGGGAGAAAUCCACACUCCACACUCUCACUCCAAAAAGUAAACGCUGCCUUAAUCUCUCUUCAUUCUUUCAUCAUAUACAUGGCAACGUCGCAACUUCCAUCUAUAUAUUUGACAUCAUUAAACGGGUAACAACGCAAUCGUGUAGGAACCUAUAUUUGUCUUUAUAUAAUUGAAACAGGCGCAAAAUUGUCAUUUAUGGAAAAAAAGAAAAAAAAAAAUAACAGACAAUAACUAUCAAAGUCAUUUCAGCAUUCACAGUUCAAAUAGGAUAUCUUUUAUCCUUCGUUAUGGGGUGAUGCAGGCCUGUAUGUUGGACUUGAUCAUGCCAUCAUGAUAAGCAGUACCAGAGAGUGGAGAUCGAGUGGGUGUCAUCCCUAAAUCCAGAACUUCCAUAUAACUUGGAAGCUGAAGUUCGAUGGUAUUCUUUGGCAUCUCAUCAUUGACAUACAAAGGACAGUAUCCAGUUCCAAUAGGUGCGAGCUGACCUAACACAAUAUUCUCAGUGACCCCCGCAAAUAAUCUGUUUCAGCAUAAGCUGCAGCAUCAAGAAGAAUGUCAACAGUUUCUUCAAAUGAACAUCUCAUCAAGGGUCCAGUAUCAAUCCUGUUGAUGCCAUGACGAGUGAUGGCCAUCAAGUGGCCUAGAUAGGUCAUGGUAUCACAAAGGAUAGCCAGAUGCCGAUAAUUCACAUAAGAGCCAUCAAAAGAUAUGACUGCUCGCAAUUCAUGCAGCAGCACCCUACGAACUGCCUCAAUCUCCAGCACUUCAAUCAUUUCAACCAAGUGAUUGCUUGUUGUCCUUCUCGCAUCAACUUCUUCAUGACACAUAACAGCUAAAAGAUUCACACCUUCAGCGUCCAGCAUAAAUUCCUUUUCCGACUUAAAUCGUUCAUUAUCAUCGUACUUGGUUGAUUUAACCUUUUUAAUGAACACCUUGUUGAUAUGGGGGAUACCUUGGAGAGCCAUUUCCAGCAGCAUGUUAUUCUCAAUCUUUUCCAAGAAAACAUCAUCUUCAGCUGAUUCAUCAUUCAGUCCUCCUAUUGGAGCUUCAUUAUUCAUGAUACGAGUACGAAGGACGGGUAUACUGAGGAUUCAAUCCCAGGAGUUGGCAGUCCUCAUCAGUUAUUCUUGCCAGAACUUCAAGUACCUGAAAUAUGGUUAACAAAGUUAGCAUCAUGAAACAAGCAGGUGAAAAUGAAACCACGAAUGUGUUGCCUUCAGAAUAAGUUACCCUUUCUGCAGUAAGUGUCUGCUUUCUUUCAACAGGUUCAGGAAGUUGUCCUUGAUCAUCAUUCUUUUUUCUUUGAGCCUUGUACUCUGCAAUCAUAUUCAUGCCGUCAAUUGUCAGCGUUGGUUGCAGAGCACCACAGCCACUCUUUCUCUUUCUAAGAGGUUCUUCACCAUCAUGACCAAGGAGACUGAGGACAUCAAUCUCAUCAUCGCCUUCCCAUUUGUUUUUGGUUUUACAUGCACACAAAAUCUGUUCAAGCCUGCUCUUGGGGUUCCUUAUUUUCAAAGCUAGCUUAAACUUGUCAUCUUCCUGCUUGAAAAAUAAGCAAUCACGCAUGAAGCAGACAAUAAUCUACUAGAAAUUUUAAGGAUGGACGAACAAUCAAACUAUGAAAGAAACAACUUCAUCUCAUCUACACUAUUGGGAACCAAAUAGAACAAGAAAGGGAGGAUAAAAAAAAAACAGUUCAGAUAACCAAGUACCAUGGAAAGCCUACUUCAAAAUGCAUAUAAAAAACCUACAAGGCAUCUAUCAUGAAAGCAGAAUUCGUAUCCAAAUCCUAUUUCUCAAUGGGAAAAUGGAGAUAAACAAAAUUGACUACAUCUAUACUUUAUAAAAUACAUGACAUUAACAAUACAUGCACGAAUAACCAAUGAUUCCCUGAUGCUAGUAAAGAAUACAAUUUACAACUUAUAGCCGUAUCAGGUUAGUACUCUUUCAAAAUUUCUUUUCAUUUUUUUUUCCUCCUUCAUCAGCAACCAACCAGACUACCAAUAAAUUACAAGAGAGAAACGCUAAGGCCAAAGGAAAAUUACAAUUUCGUCAGGGCUGAGAAUGCUGAACUGGACCAACCGGACCUUGGCGACCUCGCCUGGAGAGUACGUAAAGCUAUUUUCCAUGGCGAGCUCUCCAAGCUUUGAGUAGCAGCAGAGUGGCAAGCUUGAAGUGUCAGCUAGAAAUGCAGGGCAAAACAGCGUAAUAAGACCAAAUUACCCUUUGGAGUUGCUCGGCUGUCAAGACUGAACACUAAUCGGCCCAACUACCGCAAUAACAACAGUAACUGACUAUUGUGCGUGUAUAUGUGGCAACGGCUGAGUUGCAAUAUCCGUAACUUACAGCCAGCCAAUAUGAAUCGUUAGAUUUGAGGGUCUGAAAUCGAAUGGACGGGAAAUAACAUACGAAACUUAUAAAUGGGUCAAAGAAUUUUUCAGCAAUUAGUGGGCAUACCGGGAACAAUGGUUUGAAAUAUAAAAGCGAGUGAUCGGUUCUGAGUAAUAUGAUUGAAGGGCAAAAAAAUAAUUAAUUAAUUAAAAUAAUUGUGAAUCAAUCACUCACAAAUAGGGGUGGGAAUAAAACAAUAACUAUAAUAUAAUAAAAUGAUUGAUUAAAUUAUAUUUAACCGAUUACAAGCUAAUUAAAUUUUUUUAGAAGUGAAAUUUAACCGGUUCUAAAUAUAUUUAAAAAAAAAAAGAUUUGUCUUUUAAUAAAAGAAAAAAUUAUAAAAAGAAAACAAAAAGUAAUAGAGACUAGCUGGAGUGCGAUUUGGGUGGGCGAUUCAAGAGGCUGAGUUUGAAUUGUACUUGCCUCUGCCACUUUUAGAUUCUUCUUUUGCGUAAUCACAAUAUGACCUUAUUGAGUAACUGAGCACGAUGGCAAGAAUCUUCUUUCUAGAUACAAGAUGCAAUUCGGCGUCGGCGAUUGGAGAGGGUAAGAGUUUUGAAUGCUAUUCGGACCGCUUUUGAUAAUUUAGAAAACCAGCUUGAGGUUUUGCAUGUAAGACUUUUUUUAGCUUUUCUUUUUGGUUUUUGUAAGUUUUAGAUCAUGUGCGUCUCUUUUGGUUGUGAUUUGUUUUGUUCCGAGAAAAUUGAGGGUGAAAGAUGAAAACUUUCAGUUUUAGCACAAGUAACCUGGCUAAUUGUAUUGGUUAUCGAAGUACCAGAUUGGUCAUCGAAUUAUUGCGAGCGAGUUUUUGCAUGUAGAUGAUUUAAUCAAAUUGUUAUCUGAUAAACAGAUGAUUGCUCACAGCAGGUUCCCUCUCCUUUAAAUUAGUUUAGGCAAAGUAAGUCAUCAUCAUUUGGAAGUUUGCAAUAGACUGUAAAAUGAGCCAGUCUUUGUUUAAUGAAAUAUUUAAUAUCAUAAAAUUUGCUUAGAUGAAAAAAUUAGAGGGGAUAUUAUUGAUUUGCUAAAUUAAUUUAAUGACAUAAUUUCGGUAAAAUUCAAAGUUCAAACUCAGUCAUUUAUAAUUGUUUGUCUUGCUAUUCAUUUUCUUUAAUUCCUCUGUUCUUCAUUUGAGUUUCAUCCGCUACAGCACCUCAUUAGGUUGCUGAACAAGAUGAAUAUUUAGAUAACUAUGCAUGACAGGAUCAAAGAAUAACAAUUAAUAAAACUUCAUUUCUCAGCUAAAUGGCAACAAUAAGAUUGUUCAUUGGUUUAUCGAUUAACUACGAGGAAUCAACAUGAAAUAUUCGGCUUAUGUUCAAUUUUCCACUAAUGCCUAUGCAAACUAAAUUUAUGCAUGUAAUUAAAAAUUAUGACAGCACUAUAUCGAGAUUAAUCUAAUCAAGAAAUUAAUUACCUAUUAUUUUGUUUUUCUUUUUAAUUUUUCUAAGAAAUCUCAUUAUUCUAAACAAGUUUAAUUUGAAAUAGUAGGACAAAGAAGUGCCUCACGAGAAUUAAGAGCAUCGAUGUUCAAGUUGUCGUGAACGGGGGUCAGUUAAUUUCAUCAAAAUGACGAAGACGUCGAUUGUCACGAUCACUACUAUCAGGUAACCCUAACUUCAGGUUCAGAUCAAUUUUGUUAUCAGCAUCUUGGAGAUCAUAGCCGUUCAUGUUUGUUGCUGCUGCUUGAUUGAACCACCGAGAAUCCAUGGUAGGCGAAAUGAUCAAUUUCUAUGUCUACCGUCAACCAAAAACAACUUGGAAAAUCAGUUUAAAUAUUGAGAGAAGAAGAUCGAUAGGUUAAUAGCUAGCAAACGGAAGAGAAUGAGAGAGAAAUGAAGUUAAUUAAUGAUUUGGUCAUGCAUGAAAUGUAGGAAACUGGUCAAGCACUCAAUAGAUAAAACAAAACGACCUAUAAGACUGAAAUAUAUAUUACAAAUGGACGCACUUGUUAUGUGAUAAGAUUACAAAAAUCAUCAUUAGAUGAGAAAAUUUAGACAGAUAUUAUAAUAAUAUUCUUAAUUCAUAUAUCAAUUAUCUAAGUUCAAUUUCCAUUGAGAUGUAUGAUCUAACUAUAGAUCUGAUUAAUUUGGACAUGAAUGACCAGCAAUCUAAUCAUAUAAACAUGAACAACGUAAACAUUAUUAAGCUUUUGUUCAUCAAAGAUCUAAAAGGAAAAUUUUACAUAAAUUAAAAAAAAAAACUUGGAAGGAUAUAUACAUGCUGGUUCGAAUAGGACAAGCUGAAAUUUUUCAAAAAACUUUAUUUAUUUAAACCCUUAACCUACUGGUCUUGAAUCCGAUAGGACCCAAUUCUUUUACAAAGGUUUAAUUGUGUUACGAAGUUCAUCCACAAAAAAAAAAAAAAAUCAUAAACCCUUGACCAAACUUGGACAUUCAAUGAACUGCGAAAAAAAAAAAUGAUCAACAACACUGAACACAGAGCAUCAUCUCCCAAUCGAUUCAAAUGGAUAGAAAACAAAUUAACGAGAAAGAAAGUAUCAAAUCCAAGGAUAAUUUUUCGUAUGUUCACAUAUUGUAUAAGAGCGUUUGAUAUUAAUGUCUUGUAAAUUUUAAAUUAUAGCUACUAUAGAAAAAGAGCAGUAUUUAUGAAAUAAACAUUAAUAGUAACUAAAUAUGGCUUUUAAUAAUAAUUUUGACAAAAAUUAAUAAAAACCUUACAGGUUUUUCAUCUUACAAGUGAUAAAUCAAAACAACUUAACUUUCAAGUUAUAGCAAUUAAUAUUUAUUAAAUAUUUUAGUGCUGCCCAACCUCGAUAAUAAAUAGGGCCUUAGUGAGUGAUCGUCCAAUAAUAUAAGAACAUUGAAGCUUAAUAUUUCAGGCGCAUUAGUUCUUAAGAAAUAUAUAAAAUCUAUAUAAGAUUUUUAAGAUUAAUGGAUCGAAAAUAUAUUUACUCCACGAUUUAAUGAUGAUCGCAAGUAUUGGUGUAAGAAAUACAUAUAUAGUCUAUCAUGGCUCCGAAUAAACUUCCUGAAUAAUUUUAUUUUGUGAUAAUUUGAUUUUUUAAAUUAUAAAACAGCUUUUUUUUUUUUUUGUUUAUUAAAAUUUUGAUGCAGCCCUCUCAUAAUGCUCGAGCUCACACAAGCUAGAAAAAUGAUUUCGCAUAAUGUAGUGUAUUUUUAAUUAUUUAAUUUUAAAGUUUUUUUCUUUUUUAAAAUUUUAAAAAGCUCAUUUAUUAAAUAUUACCGUCUAAAAAAUUAACCGCAACCGCGCAACCUUAUCAUGAUACUUCUUAUUAAUUACUUACUACAAAAGCAACGCAAGUAUGGCAACUGUAUUGUUAUGAUUAUUUCAUAACAAUAAUCUGAUAUGGCCUUAGCUCUUCACUUUAUCACCGUGCGCGCAAUUCAAUUAUUUUUCGCUCAAGCUCAAGUGAGGUUAAAAAAUGAUUUUGAAUAUCUUUUAACAUUUUACCACAACCUUAUCAUAAUAUUUUUGAAUUAACUAUAUACUUUAAAAAGGAGCAAAUAUAGGGUAACUGUGUUGUUAUAAUUACUUUUAGAAACAGUCACGCAGUCAAGCUCGAGUGAGCUUGAAAAUGAUUUGGAAUAAUUUUUGAAAUAGUUCAAAAGAGUAAUUUUAUUACCGUUAUUAUUUGAUUGUAGUUAAUUAUCAAAAGAGUGCUUUAAAUAACAUUCAAAAUAUAAUUUUUAUCUCAACCAUCUCAUAAUCCUUUCAUUGCCAUUUCUGUUUUAAACCACACGGACUAAAGCUCAAAUGAGUAUGAGCUUGAAAAAAAAGGUUUUCAGAAUAAUAAAAAAUAAAAGAAUUAGUUAUUACCACCAAUUUUUAGAUGUUAAAUUAAAAUAAACAUCAUGGUAAUUGGAAAAGCAGUUAUGAACUAAAUAAAAAUUUUGUAUCAAAUAUAGGCAAAUUUAUUUUACAUAAAAGUUAAAAGUAUGUGGUAAACAUACAUACAUUCAUAUAUAUAUAUAGAUAUAUAGACACACACACACACACACACAUAUAUAUAUUUGGGCCUCUAAAGGGUGAUUUCAAAAUUUUGAACCAAAUUUUUACGCUAAUGUAAGUAGUUAUGAAACUAGAUUAUACAAAAAAGAGAGUCAACUUCAAACCCCAAAAUAAUUUCUAAGGAAUUUUAGGUCUUUUUUCUUAAAAAAAAAAAAAAAACCUGAGAAAAUAUGAGAAACUUUUCGGAAUGAUAUGAAAGUAUUAGAGAAAGAGGGUUUUGGUGGAAGAAAACCAAACUGAUUUUUAAAGAAAACCUUAUUUUUUUUCGAAAUCAUUUUGUACCUAAAAUCGAAAGUUAUACACACUAUUUUGGGUCUCCAAAGGUGAAAUCAAAAUCCCAAGUUGAUUUUUUGCCUGAAUGUAAAUAUUUUUGAAAUUAGAGUAUAUGAAAGAAUGUGAGAGCCGCGAAAUAAUUUCUACCCAAUUUUAGAUUUUUUAUAUGAAAAAUUGAAGAAAUCCCAAAAAAUUGGCUAAACUUUCCUUCUAUUAUUUCUUCUUAUGUGGUAUGACCUCAUCUUUUUAAGGAGGUCUUUCUCAUAGGACAGAGAUAAGUUAUGCAAUUAUGACUUAUUCAAGAGUCCUUUUUUUUUUUUCGUAGAGAAUCCUUGUAUAUUCUAUGAGAAUAGUUGCUUGAGAUGCUGUGAAACUCAUUAGGAAGCACCUUUAUGGUCUAAAGAUGGUUUUGUUGGAAGAAAACUAAUUGGUUUACGAAGAAAAAUAACUUUUCUUCUCAUCCCCAGUUUGGGCCAAAAACCAAGGCAAUAGCAAAUGGUCUUGCGCCUCUAAAGGGUGAUUUUUGAACUCGGAGCGGAUUUUUUUAAUGCAUAUAAAUAUUGUUGAAACUAGGGCAUAGAAAAAAAAAAAAAAAAAAAAAAAAGGGAGUCGAUAUCAUGCCCCAAAAUAAUUUGCACGGAGUUUUCGGUCUUUUUUCAAAAAUUAAAGAAAAUCUCAAAAAAAAUUAGGAGAACUUGUCAUAAUUAUGUGAAAUUCUUUUAGGUCAUCUCUAAUGCAUAACACCAUUUUGGUGUAACACCAACACCAAAAAUAUACUUUUUUCACACCAAAUUACUAUUUCAUCUUCAACCCAUUUACACCAUCCACGCGCGACGCAGCAGAUCCAGCAACCCAGCAGCAGUCCAGCACCAAACAGGCGACGCAACAGCGACCCACACCCACCAGCACCACCAGCGCGAUGUAGCUACAGCCAAUCGAACGCACGCGAUGCGGCAGCAGCAAUCUCAGCUCCAACGCGACCCAAAACCAGCAGCACCAGCAACGCACGCGAACCAACUGCAAACCAUCACCAACUCCAUCCCAAGUAACCUUUGAUUUUUUUAAUUAUUUUAGAAAUUUUGAGAUUACUGAAGCCAUUGUUGAUGUUGUAAUGGAGAGUAGAUUUGUGGAAGAAUCGAGAGAGAGAGAGUAAAGAAGAAGAAGAAGGAUGUUUCAUUGUUGUCAUAGCAAGUGGAUAACGAAGAAGAAGCAUUGUAUUUCAGUUUCAACCACAAAUUCUUUUAAAAAUUAUUAAAGGGUAUUUAACAUUUACCUAGUUUAUCGUAUUUUAUCUCUUGUAAUUUGCAUAUUUUUAUUUGAUCGACACUUUCUCUAAUUUGUCAUCAAAAUUAAGCAAAAUUUUCACUUAUAUAUACAUUAUUAUUUUUCUAUGAGAUUUGGUGGAUAAUUGAUACGCUGUAGGAACAAUCAAUCAAAAAGAAAUAAAAAUAAAAUUUUAUUAAAUUAUUAAAAGUCCAAGCCCUGUCCAGGCUCAGCCUAGGCCCGCGCAAGCCUGGCCCCGGCCCAACCAUCUCAAGUUUGGACAGGCUUUAGAGGGCUUGGGCUUCUUGCCAAUUACACGAGCUUGGACUUGGGCUUGAAAAAGCUUGGUCUAAGCCCGCGAUUUGCCAACCCUACAUAAAAGUAUCUAACAAUGGUAGGAGAUUUUAGAAAGUGACUAAUAUUUUGGACCUAUCAUUUGGGGAGAAGUGUAUAACUCUUGAUCAAACUAGAAAUCUCAUAAUAGAAGAAAUCUUGUACCUCCGAAAAGAAAGGAGAAAUCGUUUUGAUUCGAGGUGAAUCCUGAUCAACUUUGCCUUUACAAGUUGAGUAAAUAUUAAAAAUUUUGAAAAAAGCUUUGUUGUUAUUUAAGAUUAUACCAGUAUAAUGAGCCCGUUCACGUUUUUGGGAGACCUUUUUUUAUGUAGUUGUUUGUAGUUUUCUUUUCUUCAUUAAAAUUGGGUUGGCGUGAUAGUGAACCUAUCAAUUGGUAGAGUACAAGACCGAAAAUCAUGCUCUUUGGAGCCCAGAGAUUCCCAUGCUUUCCGUUGGUUAGCAACCAACAAAAAUUUGAGCUUGACGAAGGUGCUAAUAGUUUUCGUAUGGUGGAGAAGUUCUUACAGGUGUGUGUAGUGAUGAAUGAUUACCAUAUGAGUUUUAAAGGUUUCGAGUGAAUAUAUAGAAGAUCACCUGUGAUUGUCCCAUGAUUGAAUGUCUACACAUGUUACCCAUAAAAUCGGUUGGUGAAUUCUUACUUGUGUGAUUAGGGGUUGCGAAGAUUGUGUGAAUAACAAUUCUGGAUGGGAAAAGAACAUUUUGAAAAAAGUGAAUGAAAGUUGACUAAUGUCGUUGGAUAUUUUAUGAAUAUAUAUCAAUGAGGGCAUCCCUUUGCAUUGAGUUAUUUGAACACACUUCAAUAGUUUUAUUCUAAACUUGACAGGGACUGUAAAUUGGACGAUUUUGGUGAGCCUAAUAAGUGCCUUAAUUGUUUGGAUUUAGCUUUUGGCAAGGGAGAGGGCUUUUGACUUUUUGUUUGUGUCCUUGUUGAAAUUAUUAAUAAUAUUAGCCUUACCCAAUUCAAACAAUGAGCCAACAAAUGUGGUUUAUAACAGGUAGUAGGGGUGGGCAUUUGGUUCGGUUCAGAGGGCAUUUGGUUCAGUUCAGUCUGAACCGAACCGUAUUAUGGCAAUUUGGUUUGGUUUAGUUUUUUAUUUGAACCGAACCACAUGGUUCAAGAAAAAAUUAAAAUUAAAAUUAAAAAGGUCAUAAUUUAUCUUUUUUUUUUAUUUCUAUUUGUUAGUUAAUACAUGCUAUUAUAUAUGUCAUAGCAUUUGUUAGUUAAUACAUGCUAUUAUAUAUGUCAUAGCAUACACUUUAUUUUAUUGUUGAACUUUAUUAUUUUAAUUUAUUAUUGUUAGAUUUUAUUAUAUUGUUUAUUAUUUAUGGAUUUCUAGAUUAUUUUUUUGGAAUUUAUUAUGUUAAUUUACUAUUGUUAGAUUUUAUUAUGUUGUUUAUUGUUUGUUAAUUUAUAGAUUCAAGAUUAUUUUUGUAUUAAUAGUGUAUUAUUAUAUUAUAUUUUUUAUUGAAUAAUGAAUAUAUAUGAUACAAUCAAACCAAACCGAACUGAACCGAACCAAAUUAAAUAGUGCCCACCCCCAACAGGUAGGAUACAAGCAUUGUCGCAAGCACAAGAAAUCAAUUUAUAACUUGAAAAAAUAAAUUGUCAUAAGCUUAUAAAACCGACAAAAUAGCUGAAAAGUAAAUAGUUCUAAUACAAAGCAUAAAAGCUAAUUUUGAUCCCAUCUCACAGAUGGGGCAUAACUUUGGUACAAAAUUGACUAACAUCAAUAAUUCCUCUAAGCAGUUUGGUUGUUGGAGUCCUGAUCACUAUUUGAUGUCUGUUUCUUUUGCUUUCCUUUUCUCCUCCUUCUUUCUGUACUUAAUCCCAUAGGCGUUGCAGAGAGUGUAAAACUAGAAAAAUUUAUAGGAUUAAAAGUACUAUUUCAAGCUUUAAUUUACAUAUGUGGGCAAGUGGUAUUAUAUGAGUUUAAGGACUAUUUGUUCAUGUUACAAGUUUAAAUUUAAUACGACUGUUCAUAAUUAAUCUUUCUUUAGAAAACAUAUAUGUGUGUGUAUACUCACACAUAAUGAACAAUUCUUGUACAUAUACUAUUACAAAUGAUGUGGCAAAUGACGUCACUUUAUUAAUGAGUGUAAAUAUUGGUGAUAAGGAAAAUAAUUACUAUAUUCUAAUUGGACUCCAUAAUAGUGUCACAUUUUAUUUGCCAUAUAGUUGGAAAACAUGAGAAAAUCUUAGAUGCUCCCUCUCUCUCUCUCUCUCUAUGUAUAUAUAUAGUAGUUCUCUAGUUUGGAAUCUUAAAGUGUGAGAAAAGUUCGAUAAAAUUUUAAAAACUAUGGAGUUUAAGAUGCUUAAAACUUAAAAGACUUAAACCACAUUGUCUAUGCGUUUUUCAGACUUUUUCACACUUUAAAAAUCUGGAUUCGAAAUUUCUCUCUCUCUCUCUCUCUCUCUCUCUCUCUCUCUAUAUAUAUAUAUAUAUAAAAUCUCUUAGAUUCUUUCCGCAAGUGUUGGUUCAGAAAUACACAUGGCAAGAAUCUAACGGAUAAAAGUAUGUGUGUAUAGACACUAGCGAAAGCAUCCAAAAUUUUUCCCCAAAAACAAAAUUUGUACCUUCUUUUAUGCAUGUGGAUGCAUCAAAGAAUUACUGUUUUCAAGUCUACAAAUAGUAAUAAUGACAAUAAUAUGCAACAAUUUACAUAUCUUCGGGCCAAGAUGACCUCUACGGCACAUAGGAGUAUCAUUAGUAUUGCAAUUAUAAUUACUGCAUCUUUUAUAAGGAUACCUAUGCGGCCUUGGAAUGCCUGCUGUCCUUCGAGGUGAAGCUGCCGUUGAUGAGUUAGGACUGCCCAUCUGCUGGUUUCUCGACGCUGGAACGUUGAUGAGUGUGUAACUUUUCAUCGAUGCUUGCGCUGAUGCUGCCGCAGUAGGCUGAAUAUUAUUACUAGGGUUAAUGCUUAAGUUGUUGUAGUGAAGAGGAGAGUUAGGAAGUUGUGAUCCCAUUACAGAAAGAGCCUGCAGGAAAUGUGCUAAAGCCAUAGCCAUUAUUUGGGUGCAUAUAUUGUGCUUGUCUAUGUUGGUUCCUCAAGUUUGAUUGUGGCCACACAAUUUAGUUGGGAUUAAACUUUUGUCCAAUGUUAGUGUUAUUGUUCAUUCCUUCAUUCACCAUUUCAUAGUUGGUUAUUCCCUGUAUAUAAACAAUCAAAAUGUUAGAGAAACUAUUGACUCAUUAAAUAAUAAUAUAUAUGAGAAAAAUUUUCAAUCUGAAAUUAAAGUUGGGAUUAAAGUUCAGGACAGAUUUACGACACCAUAAAUUCGUCGUAGAUCUUAAUUGUAAAUUUUAAUCUUAGAUCUAAUAAGCACUGUGUAUAUAUAUAUAUAUUGGUUUUUUGAUAUGGAAUUUUAAAGUGCCCGAAAACUUUAAAAUCAUAGGGGCUUAAAAUUUAAAGCGUUUAAGUUGCAUGGUUAUGUAUUUUGUCGGACUUUCUUACAUUUUAAAAUUUAGAAUUGGAACAUUUCCUACAUUUAUAAUUUUUAAGCUAUAAAUUACAAACAAUAUUAACCUGCUCUCGUUUAUAAUUUCUCUGUUAUAACUAGCUCGCAUUGUACCAAAAUUUUUGUUUCUCCGUGUUUAUGUUAUUAAUAGAACCAUUAUUAGCUAAUAGGUUCAAGUCUCCGUAAUUACAAAUUAUUCCCAAUAACUAUUAUUGGAUUCCAGUUGUUGUAAUUUAAAAUCAUGAUUUAAAACAAGGCAUAUAUAUAUAUGGAGCAGUCAAUCUAAUCUGUUAACACCAAUUAUGCAGCCAAAAAAUGAUAAUAAAAAAGGAGAAAAAUUCAAGAAAGAUGACAAUUCUAUACAUACCAUCAGUCCAUGUAUAUCCAAGAUUUUACAAGAAGAUUACCAAAAUAAUGGAUCUAAACAGAUUUGAUAAUUACUACUUCGUAAAAAUCAAAUAAAUAAAGAGAUCAUAAUUAGAUGGUGCAACCUAAGAGAUAUAAAUUAUCAAGUAUAUGAAGUGGAGCUUCUUUUCUGCAUAUUGAUUGAUCAAACAUUAAUUAAUCUUCAUUUCUUAACAAAAUUGCAAAAGAAAAAUAUUAUUUCUCUAUUAGUUUUUUGAUUGAUUUAAUCAAGAAAUCAUAAUUUUAAAAAAAUGAAGACUAAUAUUAAAUUGUAUAUCAUUCCUGAAGAUUAUGUUCAGAUUUUCAUUUUCAAAUUCAAUUUAAUAAUAGAUCACAUUAUUUAGGCACAUAAGUAAGGAAUGUCUAACACAAAGAAUUACCUCAUGAGAAUUAAGAUGCUGACUGUCAUUAUCACUAUUAGGUAACCCUAACUUCAAUGUCAGAUCAAUCGUCUUUCCAUCAUCAUUGUUCUGAUCGUAGCCAUUCAUUUUGGUUGCUGCUUCUUGAUUGAGCCACUGAGAAUCCAUGAUCAAUGAUCAAUUUCUUUGUUUUCCGAGAACAAAAACAACUUGUUACAGUCCCAAAAUGAACAAGCUAGAUAGAGAGAAAGAGAGAGAAAUGAAGUCAAUUAAUCUGUUCAUGCAUGAAACUGCAUAUAUGAAACUGAAGCUCUUAUUGACCAUUGAGAGAGAGAAGACUUGAUACAUAUGCCACCAAUAGAGAUAUACACACGAAAACACACUCUUUUAGUGAUUUAAAAAAAAAAAAGAAAUUAUGCACCAGACUAAAUCGAAACGAAUAAAAGUUAUAUCUAGUUGUGAUUAUUAGUUUAUUAAGUACUAAUUUAUAGAGGAUCUAUUAUAUUUACCAUUUUAUUUAAAAUUGUUUCUUUUAUUUUAAACUCAAAAACUACAAAAAUUAAAAGAGAUUACUGCAUUCGCCAAAGAACGGCUAUGAGCAUUUUUCUCGCUCUCUUAUACGUGACGCUAUCCUAAUUACACUCAUCUCAAAUCUAUUUUGUUAGUUACCUUUGAAAAAUAAUUUGAUUUUUUCAUAAAUAUAUAUUUUUUAAAAUGCAUUUAUAAAAAUUGAAGGAAAAUAUCACCACCCAUAAAUAAAUUGCAAGCAUUAAUUAAUUUAAAAAAUGGGUUUAAUUAGUUUUCUCUUUCAAACAUUAAUUUAUAUCUUUAGUCGUAGUUUUUCUUCUCUCUUCUCUACCUUAUCACCAUCCAUAAUCGGAAAGCUUCGAACUUAAAAAAAAAAAAAUGCAUUGUGCUAUGAAAAUGUUGAUUUGUCCAUGUAUAAUUGGAUUUGUAAAUUGGCUACUUCCGACAAAAAUCUAAGAAACCUGUAAUUUUUUAUCAAGCAAAUAAAUUAAUAGCAACAACAGCGGCUAAUCGAUGCGACAACAACAAUGGCUACUUCCGGCAACAGCAGCCUCUUUAAUUUGAGUUAGUUCGCUGAGUUUAUGUCCGAAUUCUUAAAUGGAUAAUGAAUUUAUUGUUUUAGUACUAAUUGUUGAUGAUUAUAGGUUAGAUCUUGUUGAGCGAUUAGUUUUUUAACAUUAGGCUUGAAUUGGGAAUGAAAAUUGAUAAAAUACUUAUGGAAAUAAGUUUGUUAAAUACGGCAAUACAAAUGUUUGCUAAAAUGCCUCAAAGAAUACAAUUUGUUGUUUAGCCUUAAUUUUGCUAUUAUUUUACUUGAAUGAAUAUCUAAGAAGGUUGCAACUAGUAUUGUCGCUUGAAUAUAGGCAAUGGUAUGGUGUUAUGGGUGAUUAUGAGUGAAAAGUUCUUGUCACGCUAACCUUGUAAGUGAAAACCUUGUUUUUCUCAAACAAAACCUAAAUUAAGAAGAUUCAAUACUUCAUCAUACCUUUCAGAAAACAGUAUCAAGACAAUAAUGUCGAGAACCAUCACCUAUAAACUUCAUCCGUCGGAAAGAUCGCAGAUGAUGUUACACGUACAAACUUUUUUGUUUUUUUAUUUUUUAUUUUUUAAUUUACAAGUGCUACGCUUUCAGCCGGUUAUCCGUUUUUCAAAUGUUAAAUCUUAGUUGUUAGAUACAUUUCUUCACAAUCUAACGACUCAUUCGCUAUGAGAUAAAGGACUGGGGUACCAAACUUAUGACGCAAGAUAGCUGGAUCCACAAAAAAAUUAUAGCAAUUGAAAGAAGAGCAUACGAGUCUUACAAUAUGAAAGAAUUCUCGCCUCAAUUCAAACAAUUAAAUUCAGGAGAAACCACAACCGAUUGUGAGCUCCCCAUUUAUCAUUUACUAAUUGCUAUUAUGAUUCUUUUUUGUCAAAUUCAUCUUCAUGUUUGACAACACCCAUAUCUUCCAUUUGCCAAGUUAGUUCAUCCUAUUUACCAUUGAUCGUGUAAAAUCUCAAGUAAUGUUACACCCGCAUAUUCUGUAAAUCGUUAUAAUGAUUUGAAUUAGUUAGUUUUUUAUUUUUUUAUAAACAUUAUUUUUGCCUUAUUUAAGUUAUUUGGUUAUUUUCAAAUCUUCAAAUUUGAAUUGAUUUGAAAAAGAUUAGAAACUAUCCCUUUUUUAUUUUCCUCAACUACUCAUGUUUUGGUAAAUCAAAACUCACUUUUUUUUUUAAACAAUAAUUAAUGAGGGUCACAUUAUUUGGGACUCAAAUGAUAAGGUCCCUAACAUUACACUUUUCCAAAAUUCAACACAUAUUACUCUCUUCUUUCUCAAUCAAAACUAAGAAAUUUAGUAUUUUCUUGCACUCGAUGGUGACGGCGGCAGAGGGGGAUGCACGAACAACUCUAUAGGUUGUGACAGACUGACAGUGGCAGUAGAGAUGGAGCAAUCGAACCGAGCAAAGCUGCGUGCCAAGGCUAGCGAGUCAGCAACCGAGACGAGAUGAUGCCGGCGGAGGGUGGUGGCUGCUGCUGGCUUCGAGUGUUGGAGGCGCGGCAGCCGCAGCGUUGUUGCUUAUGCUUUUCAAGGGAUUUGGCGAUUAGGGAUUUCAAGGCAGCCGGUGGCGGUGGCACCGUGGCAGCGCGGCUGCUUAUGCUUUUCAGAAGGGAAUGCAAUCUGCUACUUAUGCUUACUGUAUUAGGGAUUUGGAUUUGGGCGAUUUGGGCAAUUGGGUUUUGAUUUUUGUAUUUAAAUUUUUUUUUUUAAUAUACCGGGUCCGGAUUCUGGGUUUUUGGGGCUGAGACCGGAACCGGGACUGGAAAUGUCCGGGUUUGAGAAUUUCGCACCGUAUAUUUUUCUUAUAAAACUCCAUUUCGGAUAAAUUUACAUUUAAAGACAAAAUAACAAUAACACACAUUUAAUUUUUUUUGAACAAAUUACUUACAUUUAUUAUUAAAUUUUUUUUUUUACCUCUCACUUCAAUUUAUCAAACUAAAAUAAGUUGUAGAAAUUUCAAAUAAUAUAUAUAUUUUUUUAUUUUUAAUUAAUUAAAUAUUUUUAUACAUAAAUUUUUUAAAAUUAUAAUUUAAAAUAAGUGCACUUUAAGUUAAUGGUUGACAUUCAAAAAUUCAUCAUUUAUAAAAUUUCAAAAUUUAUGUGUAGGGUGAUGACAAGAUUAUUAAAGAAAAGAAAAAUAACAAAAUCGUACUUUGAAUUUUAAUAAUUAAAAAAAUAAAAACUAGAUGAAAUAUUUUAAAAUAAAAAAGAUAUUUUUUUAAAAUAAAAUAAAAAUAAUUGAAAAGGAGUUUUAUGAGGAGAAUCGAGGGUUGCCGAUAAUCAUCGCCCACAAGGAUUUCCUAUUGAGUAUAGGAAUCCCUUUGUCGCAAUGAAACUAGGAAUAUAUAAAUCAAGUGAGUUUGUGAGACCUUCUUCUCUUAAUUCUUUCAUAAGCAGUUCUCUAAUUUCUCUCUGCGAUUUUUAUUCAUUCAGUACCCUCAAUCGUUCAUCUGAUCUCACCCAAUUCUCUUUCUCAUCGAUCUCUUUUGAUUUUAAUAUUAAUCUAAGAAAUCAGAGCAUUAAGCAUCGAUCCCUUUUGAGUCUAAUUGUCAUGGGUUUAUCAAAAAACAUUGAUUUUGAAAUUACUCUAAGAAAUCAGAGCAUUAAGCGUCGAUCCCUUUUGCGUUCAAUGAUCAUGGGUUUGCCAAGAAACAGUUGGAGCAGGGAAUAUGCUGAAUCCAUGAAAUCCAAGUUGCCAUCGGAUAUAAAAAAGAAGAGAAAAUUUGAAGAAGAGGAGCAUGCGGCUUUUACUUGUUCCAAGAAACCUCCUGCUACAGUUUCUAAAAAUGAAGAGUUCAAGUGUUCUGAUGUCGAUGCUACACGUAACCAAUUUCGUGAGCGUCUUGUAGAGGGAUUGUCUAAAGUUUAUGAAGAGAAUAAUGAAGAGAUGAUGAAGGAGCAAUUAGGAGU
This 18269-nucleotide long non-coding RNA is filed under the name Citrus x clementina. Its description in RNAcentral is "Citrus clementina (C. clementina) long non-coding RNA (CCLE_LNC002902)". The record is from RNAcentral. Lineage: Eukaryota; Viridiplantae; Streptophyta; Magnoliopsida; Sapindales; Rutaceae.